AUAGCGUAUAUUAAAGUUGUUGCAGUUAAAAAGCUCGUAGUUGAACUUUUGGUGUGGUGCUGUGGUUUAGCCUAGCUGGACUGCAGUGCUGUGCCUCUUUUGGGGGAAACGUCACUUGUGGCGGCGAACCCGGGUUACUGUGAAGAAAUUAGAGUGUUUAAAGCAGGCGAUCGCUUGAAUACAUUAGCAUGGAAUAACAAGAUAGGACUUGGUUCUACUUGUUGGUUUUGGAGCCAGAGUAAUGAUUAAUAGGGCCAGUUGGGGGCAUUAGUAUUCAGCAGUCAGAGGUGAAAUUCUUGGAUUUGCUGAAGACUAACUAGUG
Molecule: ribosomal RNA, 322 nt
Filed under: uncultured eukaryote
Lineage: Eukaryota
Description: SSU rRNA
Rfam family: Eukaryotic small subunit ribosomal RNA
Source: RNAcentral